GGUAGUGUGGCCGAGAACUAGGUGGCGAGUUGUAGCCUCGUGUAGGGGAAGAGCAGGAGUCCCCGCUGCCA
RNAcentral lists this transfer RNA (71 nucleotides) under Hemiphyllodactylus ganoklonis (Palauan slender gecko). RNAcentral describes it as "tRNA-Tyr". Lineage: Eukaryota; Metazoa; Chordata; Lepidosauria; Squamata; Gekkonidae. The record is from RNAcentral.